RNAcentral lists this transfer RNA (91 nucleotides) under Deltaproteobacteria bacterium. RNAcentral's name for it is "tRNA-Leu". It matches the Rfam family "tRNA". Rfam says of the family: Transfer RNA (tRNA) molecules are approximately 80 nucleotides in length. Their secondary structure includes four short double-helical elements and three loops (D, anti-codon, and T loops). Lineage: Bacteria; Pseudomonadati; Myxococcota; Myxococcia. The record is from RNAcentral.
GCCCGGGUGGAGAAAUGGUAACCUCAAGGGAUUUAAAAUCCCUCGGACUCUAAUACAGUCCUUGCCGGUUCAAGUCCGGCCCCGGGCACCA